RNAcentral lists this ribosomal RNA (141 nucleotides) under uncultured eukaryote. Its description in RNAcentral is "partial 18S ribosomal RNA". It matches the Rfam family "Eukaryotic small subunit ribosomal RNA", at positions 1299 to 1458 of the family's 1831-position model. The record is from RNAcentral.
UGGUGGAGUGAUCUGUCUGGUUAAUUCUGAUAACGAACGAGACUCUAAUCAUCUAACUAGUUGUGCAGCAUAGUUUAGCUAGUACAAUUUCCUUCUUAGAUGGAUUAACGGUUAUUAGCUGGACGAAAAAGAGCAAUAACA